RNAcentral lists this long non-coding RNA (1435 nucleotides) under Marmota monax (woodchuck). The record is from RNAcentral. Lineage: Eukaryota; Metazoa; Chordata; Mammalia; Rodentia; Sciuridae.
UUAAAAAAUAAUGCAUGACCAAGCAAAUUUUUAGAGUUGAUAUAAGUAUCACCUAAGUUUUAUGAGGAAAUGUUUUGUAAAUUGUAAUACAGGAUCAUUUACCUCCACAUUUUAAAGGAUGAAAGUUGGCUUAUAGUUUGGACCACCUAAUUAACUGUUUAAUUUAGUAAGGGAUAUUUCCAGAGUUAAACAAAAAAUACAAAUGCAGAUGUCUGAAGGAACAAGGGAGGUUCACACAUGAAUGAAACAGGUCUUGAUGAAAUAAUUCAGGGAGUGGCAGCCUUGUGGCAAAGUGGAGGGUGUAUGCCCCAUUAAAAGUGGGCAACCCAUUCUAGGUUUUUCAAGAAAAGCUUGGACUCUGGGAAUUUAUGCAAAUUUCACUGAUUUGAAAAUGUUGAUAAGUAAACCGAUGCCCACGUAAACAUGUUUUAAGUUCAAAUUCAGCUUUUAAACUAAAAACCUAUAAUUUUUACAUGAGGCUUUGUAUCCUUAUCAAAUAAUGUCCAAAAAACAAACUUAUCUAUGUUUAAUUACCCUCAGAUAUAGGAACAAUGGAUAAAGACAAUAGCCAGCAUUGUUCUAUUGACUUACUGUAUUCCAGGAACCCAGUGUGCUUACAGUUCUAUAUUCAUUUUGUCAGUUGAUUCUUAUAAGAAAAUUUUAAGAAAAAUUAUUAUUGUAACCCCCAAUUUCAGAAAGAAGACAGAGGAUUGGAAAGUACUUAAGAUUGUAAUACUGUAAAUGAAUCAAGACACAAACGAGGUCAAAGUCCACAGUAAAUAUUAGGUGUUCAGUAACAGAUGAUUGCAGUUUAGUUUAAAAGAGCAAUGCUUCCCAUUCUGAGGUUCCUGAUUCCCUGUCUGUCCCCUAGUUUAAAAGACUAAUAGAAAACUAUUUCCUAUUAGCAGGGAAAGGGAGUUUGCUAGAAUCAUCUUUCAAAUUAUCAAAUCAUAUAAACUAAUUAGGGAUAAUUGUAAGAAGAAAAGUUGUAAAAUACAAUGCAGAAAUUAUUUUUUAUAUUUAUUUUUAGUUGUGGUUGGACACAAUAUCUUUAUUUUAUUUAUUUAUUUUUAUGUGGUGCUGAGGAUUGAACCCAGAGCCUCGCAUGUGCUAGGUAAGCUACUGCUGAGUCACAAUCCCAGCUCCAAUGCAGAAAUUAUUAAAGUGACAAAUAUUUUACAUCAAACCUUUAUAUGUUACAUAAAGAACUACAUAUCCGAAAGUAUAUUUAAGCUUUAAAAUAUUUGUUUGACAAAACUAUUAGUAGCAAUUUAUGGACCUUCAAAUAUUUUAGAUUUAAUAGAUAAAACAUAUUUUUCAAAGAAUGUAAGCACCAAAAUAUUAUGCUGAAAAGACUGUUGAAAAAAGGAAGUGCAGGAUGAUAUUACAUUUUGCAAUGUGACCAAAAUCUCUUCCAAUAGAUACAUGUACUAAG